Molecule: long non-coding RNA, 314 nt
Organism: Fukomys damarensis (Damara mole-rat)
Lineage: Eukaryota; Metazoa; Chordata; Mammalia; Rodentia; Bathyergidae
Exons: 3
Source: RefSeq, a predicted model, not a curated record
AGUUCGAGACCAGCCUGGACUACAUAGUGAGUUCCAGAUAAUAACAAGAUCUAAUUGGAGUAACAAAAGACAUUGAAGAAGAGAAAGAAAAGAAAUCAGGCUGACCAUCCUAGGUGCUGCACACACUUACAUUAGUCCUUGAAAAUCAAUGGAGAUUGCCCAUUGGGGAAUCGGAUCAAGCCAUAUUCUUUGGUGCCUUCAGCUGGGAGAUGGCAGAGACUACACGAGGGAAAAAGGAAGCCUAAGUCAAGAAGAGGUGAGAAGAUCUUUUUGGAAGACUGAAUAAUAUCAAUAAAUGGAAAUAAAAAGAGGAU